UAAAGAUCUUUUUCUGUCAUGUCUCCAGGGUCAUAGAAUGCUCUCUGGGUUUGUAGUGGAGAGGGGGUGUAGCUUGGUCACAAGGCUGCUGGGUCUGCACUAGGGUCCACCUUUAGUUGGCUUGUUACAGGGGCUUGGGUAGUGGUAAUUCCCAUUUUAUUUUUGGACAGACUGAAUAUCCUUCAACACUUUGAUCUGUAGAGCAGACAAUAGGGC
Molecule: long non-coding RNA, 216 nt
Filed under: Homo sapiens (human)
Lineage: Eukaryota; Metazoa; Chordata; Mammalia; Primates; Hominidae
Description: long non-coding RNA NONHSAT239230
Source: RNAcentral